Homo sapiens (human) is the source of this 868-nucleotide long non-coding RNA. RefSeq lists it as uncharacterized. The record is from RefSeq and is a predicted model, not a curated record. Lineage: Eukaryota; Metazoa; Chordata; Mammalia; Primates; Hominidae. The transcript has 4 exons.
UCCAGCUCCAGAUUUCACAACCAGCCAGAUCACUUGAAGGCAGGGGCUAAGUCUGAUUUUUCUCCGUAAGUAUAAUGACACAAAUGAUCAAAAACAAACAAACAGAAAACAUGGACUAUCAAUCGAACAGUAGAAUCUCAAGAAACACAGCAUGUUAGUGCCUUUCUUUUUUUUCACCCUCUCAACCCGGCUUUUCCCAUAAGUGCCUUUCUUGAAAAAAACAAGAAAGAAAUUGACAGCAAAUUUCAACUAACCAAGCGAUGAAUUAAAUGAAGAACUCAAGAAUGGGGAAGCUGAAGAGAAAGACUGGUGUAGAAUUUGAAGCACCUGGCAAGAAGAUAAAAUAACUUUUCAUAAAGAUGGAGACUUGCCAUGAAUGAAACCAGGCAACUUGUGGAAGAAAUCCUUGUAACAAAAUCCUCACCUCUGUUGAGAAGUUGCAUUGGAAAGACCAUUUGGGGCCCUGGUGGUCAGAAUUCUAAAAUCAAGUUGUCAGCAGGGAUGGGUCCUUCUGGAGGUUCAGGUGAGAAUCCUUUUCCCUGCCUUUUUUAGUUUCUAGAGGCCGCCUGCCUUCCUUGGCUCAAGAUCCCCACCUCGCAUCACUCGGACCACUGCUUACUUCCAUUGUCACAACUCCUACUGUCUGAGCCUGUGUCUUCUUUCAUCCCUUAUAUAACGACACUCAUGAUUGUGCUGGGUCUACCCAGACCAUCAGGAUCUUUUUCCUCAAGAUCCUUGACUUGAUCAUAUCGGCAUAGUUCAUUCUACCAUAGGAAGUAGCAUUCACAGGUUCUAGGGAUGAGGACAUGGAUAUGUUUGGGAGGGACAUUAUUCUACCUAUGAUAGAAGACACAAGUGGAUUAUUUUA